CGGGUGAGUAAUACAUCGGAACGUGUCUUCUAGUGGGGGAUAACUGCCCGAAAGGGCAGCUAAUACCGCAUGAGACCUGAGGGUGAAAGCGGGGGAUCGCAAGACCUCGCGCUGGAAGAGCGGCCGAUGUCCGAUUAGCUAGUUGGUGAGGUAAAGGCUCACCAAGGCGACGAUCGGUAGCUGGCCUGAGAGGACGACCAGCCACACUGGGACUGGGACACGGCCCAG
Molecule: ribosomal RNA, 228 nt
Filed under: uncultured bacterium
Lineage: Bacteria
Description: partial 16S ribosomal RNA
Rfam family: Bacterial small subunit ribosomal RNA
Source: RNAcentral